RNAcentral lists this ribosomal RNA (469 nucleotides) under uncultured bacterium. RNAcentral's name for it is "partial 16S ribosomal RNA". It matches the Rfam family "Bacterial small subunit ribosomal RNA", at positions 28 to 507 of the family's 1533-position model. The record is from RNAcentral.
GACGAACGCUGGCGGCGUGCUUAACACAUGCAAGUCGAACGAUGAAGCCUUAGCUUGCUUUGGUGGAUUAGUGGCGAACGGGUGAGUAACACGUGAGCAACGUGCCCAGGACUCUGGAAUAACCGCGGGAAACCGUGGCUAAUACCGGAUAGGUGCCGAGGCCGCAUGGUCUUCGGUUGGAAAGUUUUUGCGGUUCUGGAUCGGCUCACGGCCUAUCAGCUUGUUGGUGGGGUAAUGGCCUACCAAGGCGACGACGGGUAGCCGGCCUGAGAGGGUGACCGGCCACACUGGGACUGAGACACGGCCCAGACUCCUACGGGAGGCAGAAGUGGGGAAUAUUGCACAAUGGGCGCAAGCCUGAUGCAGCAACGCCGCGUGGGGGAUGACGGCCUUCGGGUUGUAAACCUCUUUUAGUAGGGAAGAAGCGCAAGUGACGGUACCUGCAGAAAAAGCACCGGCUAACUACGUG